GUCUCCAGUGACUGGGUGACAAAAUACCCAAGGUGGUAUACAACCAUUUUUAUUAAACCUCAGCUGAUUGUGAGAUGGCUGUCAAUCCAUAGGUUACCUAUAUGGAGCCCUGCAUGUAUUAAUCUUACUUCUUUUUUUCAGAGAUCCCUGGAGAUAAUUGCAAUACCACAAUCUUGCUGAACUUUCACUAGCUCCAUCACCUCCAUCACAGCCUCUACAACCAAUGUUAUCUCCCAGAAGAGGGAGCAUAUAAUUAGAGAAAAGUUUAAAUUGAUGCAAGGAUUUGAGGAGCUAAAAGGCCACUCAUAGCUGAACAAGACACUUAAAACUUUAAAACAACCUCCUGAAGGGAAAAAUGGACAAUCCCAAAGUGAAACCAAGAUUAUCACAUUAAGCGACUCCAAUAUUGUAAAGCUGAGAACAGGUGCAAGAGGAACGCCUGCAGCCACAGCUGAUAACAUUCACGGAGUGUGCCAGUGGUUCUGCCAUUGAAU
This 494-nucleotide long non-coding RNA is filed under the name Cyanistes caeruleus (blue tit). Its description in RNAcentral is "lncRNA (ENSCCEG00000009964.1)". Lineage: Eukaryota; Metazoa; Chordata; Aves; Passeriformes; Paridae. The record is from RNAcentral.